This 510-nucleotide long non-coding RNA is filed under the name Gallus gallus (chicken). Lineage: Eukaryota; Metazoa; Chordata; Aves; Galliformes; Phasianidae. The record is from RNAcentral.
GGAGCUUAGAUAACUGCAUAAAACAUUGCAUUCUAUUCUGCAGAGACCCAGAAUCAAUCAUCCUUUAUAAAUUCAUCUCUUAGAAAUAAAGCACAUUAUUCAGUCAUUUAUCAGGAUUACCAUAAGAUGAGUGAUGGACGUUAUACAGAAGUAUUCAUUUUUAAUGAUGUCCUACCUUUGAAGAAACAGUCCUUGCUGUGGAUAAUGUAGAUUUUCUUCCUCUGCAGACAUGAGGCUCGAUGUAACUGACAGUGAUUUUCAUAAAACUUGCCAUCAGAUCCACACACCGGCAUGUAGCUGGACUUGCAGUCUUCUACACACCUGCACUCAGGCUGGUUGGUGUCCCUGUUCACCACACACCUACUCCCUCGGCCGCAGUAUUUCUUCUCACACGAUGCAUGCAGGCCAUCCUGACCAUAAAGUACUUUUCUUCUUGUGACUUCAAACCUUCCGGAUACCUCUUGGUGCAGCCUCCCCAGGUCUGAGUGUGGCCUUCUGCUCCCAUCCAAG